GAUGAACGCUGGCGGUCUGCUUAACACAUGCAAGUCGAGCGGUAACAGAGAUAGCUUGCUAUCUGCUGACGAGCGGCGGACGGGUGAGUAACGCGUAGGAAUCUACCUAGUAGUGGGGGACAACAGUUGGAAACGACUGCUAAUACCGCAUACGCCCUACGGGGGAAAGCAGGGAUCUUCGGACCUUGCGCUAUUAGAUGAGCCUGCGUCGGAUUAGCUGGUUGGUGGGGUAAUGGCCUACCAAGGCGACGAUCCGUAGCUGGUCUGAGAGGAUGAUCAGCCACACUGGGACUGAGACACGGCCCAGACUCCUACGGGAGGCAGCAGUGGGGAAUAUU
Molecule: ribosomal RNA, 338 nt
Filed under: uncultured Gammaproteobacteria bacterium
Lineage: Bacteria; Pseudomonadati; Pseudomonadota; Gammaproteobacteria
Description: bacterial SSU rRNA
Rfam family: Bacterial small subunit ribosomal RNA
Source: RNAcentral